RNAcentral lists this transfer RNA (46 nucleotides) under Pyramimonas obovata. RNAcentral's name for it is "partial Selenocysteine transfer RNA". Lineage: Eukaryota; Viridiplantae; Chlorophyta; Pyramimonadophyceae; Pyramimonadales; Pyramimonadaceae. The record is from RNAcentral.
CCGGUUCUUCAAAACCGUUUGGUAGCGCCCUGGGAAGUUCAACUCU